This 280-nucleotide ribosomal RNA is filed under the name Vibrio parahaemolyticus. RNAcentral's name for it is "partial 23S ribosomal RNA". It matches the Rfam family "Bacterial large subunit ribosomal RNA", at positions 1566 to 1828 of the family's 2925-position model. The record is from RNAcentral. Lineage: Bacteria; Pseudomonadati; Pseudomonadota; Gammaproteobacteria; Vibrionales; Vibrionaceae.
AUGACGAGUCACUACGGUGGCGAAGUAGCCCAUGCCCCGCUUCCAGGAAAAGCCUCUAAGCUCUAGAUUAUCAUUAAUCGUACCCCAAACCGACACAGGUGGUCAGGUAGAGAAUACUCAGGCGCCUGAGAGAACUCGGGUGAAGGAACUAGGCAAAAUGGUGCCGUAACUUCGGGAGAAGGCACGCUGGCAUUAGGUGAAGUGGUUUACCGAUGGAGCUGAAGCCAGUCGCAGAUACCAGCUGGCUGCAACUGUUUAUUAAAAACACAGCACUGUGCAA